CCCGCUGAACUUAAGCAUAUCAAUAAGCGGAGGAAAAGAAACCAACAGGGAUUGCCUCAGUAACGGCGAGUGAAGCGGCAUCAGCUCAGAUUUGAAAUCCGUAUUCCGGAGUUGUAAUCUGCAGAGGUACGUUUGGUUAGGAGCCGGAUCAAAUCACCUGGAAUGGUAUGCCUUAGAGGGUGAGAGCCCCGUACCGUCCGGCUUCCGUCGCCAUGUAAACGUCCUUCGACGAGUCGAGUUGUUUGGGAAUGCAGCUCUAAUUGGGUGGUAAAUUCCAUCUAAAGCUAAAUACUGGCCAGAGACCGAUAGCGCACAAGUAGAGUGAUCGAAAGAUGAAAAGCACUUUGGAAAGAGAGUGAAAAAGUACGUGAAAUUGUUGAAAGGGAAGCGCUCACGACCAGACUUGAGUGUGGUUGCUCAGCCGGUCUUCGACCGGUGCACUCUUCCAUAUCCAGGCCAGCAUCAGUUUGGGCGGGUGCAUAAAGACUUGAGGAACGUGGCUUCCUUCGGGGAGUGUUAUAGCCUCUUGUACAAUUCACCCUGCCUGGACUGAGGUUCGCGCAUCGCUAGGAUGCUGGCAUAAUGGUCGUCAGCGGCCCGUCUUGAAACACGG
RNAcentral lists this ribosomal RNA (613 nucleotides) under uncultured fungus. Its description in RNAcentral is "eukaryotic LSU rRNA". It matches the Rfam family "Eukaryotic large subunit ribosomal RNA", at positions 24 to 664 of the family's 3401-position model. Lineage: Eukaryota; Fungi. The record is from RNAcentral.